This 253-nucleotide ribosomal RNA is filed under the name uncultured bacterium. Its description in RNAcentral is "partial 16S ribosomal RNA". It matches the Rfam family "Bacterial small subunit ribosomal RNA", at positions 524 to 776 of the family's 1533-position model. The record is from RNAcentral.
UACGGAGGGUGCAAGCGUUAUCCGGAUUCACUGGGUUUAAAGGGUGCGUAGGUGGGUUGGUAAGUCAGUGGUGAAAUCCCCGAGCUUAACUUGGGAACUGCCAUUGAUACUAUCAGUCUUGAAUACCGUGGAGGCCAGCGGAAUAUGUCAUGUAGCGGUGAAAUGCUUAGAUAUGACAUAGAACACCAAUUGCGAAGGCAGCUGGCUACACGAAUAUUGACACUCAGGCACGAAAGCGUGGGGAUCAAACAGG